Molecule: ribosomal RNA, 360 nt
Filed under: Mischonyx insulanus
Lineage: Eukaryota; Metazoa; Arthropoda; Arachnida; Opiliones; Gonyleptidae
Description: partial large subunit ribosomal RNA
Rfam family: Bacterial large subunit ribosomal RNA (bases 228-360)
Source: RNAcentral
GCAUAAUAAAUAGUUUUUUAAUUGGAAACUGGAAUGAAGGGUUAAAACUAAAGAGAAAGUUUUAUCUAAUGAAUUUGAAAUUAAAUUAAAAGUAAAAAUGCUUUUAUAAAGCUUUGGGACGAGAAGACCCUAGAAGCUUAAAAUUUAUUUAAAAUUUUUUAUUGGGGUAAUAUUUGAAGAUAAUAAUUUUUAAAAAUUUUAAAUUAUAUAAAUGAAGUUACUCUAGGGAUAACAGCAUUAUUUAAUUAACAAGUUCUUAUUAAUAAUUAAGUUUGUGACCUCGAUGUUGAAUUAAAUUUUAUCUUUGGUGAAGGAGCUUAAGAAGGUAGUCUGUUCGACUAUUAAAAACUUACAUGAUUU